RNAcentral lists this ribosomal RNA (651 nucleotides) under uncultured delta proteobacterium. RNAcentral's name for it is "partial 16S ribosomal RNA". It matches the Rfam family "Bacterial small subunit ribosomal RNA", at positions 1 to 886 of the family's 1533-position model. Lineage: Bacteria; Deltaproteobacteria. The record is from RNAcentral.
GUCGCAUGCUCCCGGCCGCCAUGGCGGCCGCGGGAAUUCGAUUAGAGUUUGAUCAUGGCUCAGAAUCAACGCUGGCGGCGUGCCUAACACAUGCAAGUCGAACGCGAAAGUGGAGCAAUCCAUGAGUAGAGUGGCAAACGGGUGAGUAACGCGUGGGCGACCUGCCUUCGAGUGGGGGAUAACAUUCCGAAAGGGAUGCUAAUACCGCAUAACAUCCUUCGUUUAGAUACGAGGUGAUCAAAGCCGGGAGCAAUUCUGGCGCUUAAAGAGGGGCCCGCGUCCGAUUAGCUAGUUGGUGGGGUAACGGCCUACCAAGGCUCCGAUCGGUAUCCGGCCUGAGAGGGCGGACGGACACACUGGAACUGAGACACGGUCCAGACUCCUACGGGAGGCAGCAGUGGGGAAUUGUUCGCAAUGGGCGCAAGCCUGACGACGCAACGCCGCGUGGAGGAUGAAGACCUUCGGGUCGUAAACUCCUUUCGACCGAGAAGAAUGACUCCCGACCUCAUACGUCGGGAGCAUGACGGUAUCGAGGGAAGAAGCCCCGGCUAACUCUGUGCCAGCAGCCGCGGUAAUACGAAUCACUAGUGAAUUCGCGGCCGCCUGCAGGUCGACCAUAUGGGAGAGCUCCCAACGCGUUGGAUGCAUAGC